Molecule: long non-coding RNA, 8492 nt
Filed under: Gossypium barbadense (sea-island cotton)
Lineage: Eukaryota; Viridiplantae; Streptophyta; Magnoliopsida; Malvales; Malvaceae
Description: long non-coding RNA (GBAR_LNC000989)
Source: RNAcentral
AAGAAAUGAAAAAAAAAAUUGAAACAGCCAUUACUAAAAAGCUACCUAAAAAAAAGACUCCUAAAUUAUCCUUAGUCAAACUUUCAAUGGUUGGAAGCUAUUAUCUUCUCGUCUUUUCAAAUCACCUAUCCCAUCACUUCCAUCCGUCUGACAAUAGCUCUUCCCAAAAUUUGCUUUCUUUGCUAUCUACUUGUACAUCAGAGUCUUCCCUUAUCUUUUCAAUCCGGAUUUCUUGCCCAUAGUUUUGUUACCCCCCCAUUCUGGCGAUUCAACUCUCCAUCCUCCAGGUAACUUCUUUCACUUCUCUUUAAUGUUGUCUUCGCAAUGUUGUGAGCACUCAUGUUCUUCAUUUUCGGAAUGUGCUUAAACUCUAUCUUCUGAAAGCCCAACUUCUUAGCCUGAAUAUCUCUGAUAAUUGCUCUAAUAACUGAAUAAUCGAUUGUGGUUGACUGGCAUUUCUUUACUACUGUUAAUGAAUCUCCCUGUAUUUGUAUCUCUUGAAAGCCCAUCUCGAUUCCUAACUUAACUGCUUCUAAUCUCGCAUAUCCUUCUACUGCAAACGGAUAAGCAAUAUCAUAAUGAAUGAAUGAUUUUGAAGCCAAAUAUUUGUUCGUCUUUCCCCAAACCACCAGCCCAGUCGCCAAUUUGUGAUUUCUGGAGUCAAACGCAGCAUCAAACUGGAUCUUUAUAAUCGGUAAGUUCUCCUCAGUUUUUUGAUUACACACCAUAUUCAAUAGACUCUUCUUGGCUCUGACCCCUUCAUAUUCUGCAACGAGGUUCUGGACUUUUUGUGUAAGAUCAACACCUGUUGAAUAAACUCUUUCAUGCACAACCUGAUUUCUCGCGUACCAAAGUAACCAAAAAGCAUAGCAAAAAUAUCUGCACUGUUCAUCUGUUCCUUGUUCGAAGACCAUGGUAAGCCACUCCCAAAAAUUUGGUUGCAUAAUAUUUGUGAUCUAAUAAAUGCCAAACUUCCAUGCUUGCAGGACAUUACCUAAAAAUGUGAUAGCAGUUUUCUUCCCCAAAACCACAUUGAGGACAAACAGCAUUCGUCACUAUUCUUCUCUGUCUAAGAUUUGUUAAAGUAGGGAUGUUAUUCCAGGCAAUGUGCCAGAUGAUAAUUGUAAUCUUAGAUGGUAGUUAUAGAUUCCAUAGCUUUUCAAAAAAAUUCUUAUUUUCGGUCUGUAAUAAAUAAUUGCUAGGAUCCAGGUUAGCAAUUUGUAAUAGUUUAUAAGCACUACGGACUGAGUAUUCACCAGUCUGUUCACCUUUCCAAACUUGGAAAUCCUCAUGAGCUGACUUCGAUAAUGGGAUCUGUAGAAUUUUUCGAGCAACCUCCAAAUGAAAGGUAUUAUUAAUCAACUCUACAUUCCAUUUCCUAUUCACCCCAUCAAUAAGAUUCGAUACUAACUCUGGUUGUAAAUUGUCUGGAAUAUUCAGCCUUUCCAAUGAAUCAACUCCCUGGAUCCAACAAUCCUGCCAGAUAGAGACUUUAUUUCCUCUGCCUCUUCGCCAGCAUAAGCCUUUCUGAAGGAGACCCUUAGCCACCCAUAUGCUUUUCCAGGUGAGUGAAGGUAACCUUCCUAACUGUGCCUCUAUAAAAUUUGAAUUCGGAUAAUACUUUGCUUUUAAAACUCUGGCUAAUAAUGAAUUAGGAUAAUUAAUCAGACACCAUCCCUGUUUUGUGAGCAAUGCAAUAAUUAAUUAGACACCAUCCCUGUUUUGUGAGCAAUGCAAUAUUAAACUGACUCCAGUUUCGAAAACCUAAACCACCAUUUUCUUUUAGAAAACAAAGAUUCUUCCACGGGCACCAAUAUUUUGCUAUGAUACUUUCAAGUUCUUUAUAUAAAGAACUCGGCAAUAAGAAACAAGCCAUCGUGUACGUAGGAAUAGCUUGGAGAAUAGCUUUUGUAAAAAUUUCUUUCCUACCUUGUGACGGAAACUUGGUACUCUAAUUAUCAAUACGUUUUUUAAGACGAUCCUUUAAGUUUUGAAAGGCUUCCUUUUUCCUCCUCCCCACCAUAUUCGAUAGACCCAAGUAAUGCUCAGGCUCGCUUGAACUUUGAAUACCCAAAAGACUAACUACUAUUUACCUAUGUUCCUCUUUUGUGUUUUUAUUGAAAAAACUGAUGACUUAUUGAAAUUCACACUGUUUUGAGCAAAGUUUAUAUUCAUGCAAAAUGUUUUUAAAUACCUGCACCCCUCUUCUUGUUGCUUCCCCAAAAAUGAUACAAUCAUUGGCAAAUAACAAGUGAGAUAUUGGCGGACCAUUUCUACUAGCCUUCACUCCUUUUAAAAGACCUUCCCUUGUUGCUACUCACAUUAGACUCGAUAAGCCCUCACCAUAUAUAAGGAAUAAGAAAGGGCUUAAAGGGUCACCCUGUCGAAGUCCUCUACACGGCUGAAAUUUCUCUCCCAACUGACCAUUCAUAAUCACUAAAUAUGAUACAGUAGUAAUACAUUUCAUAAUAGUCUCAAUCCAUCUAGUUGCAAAACCCAUUCGUAACAUUACUUGCUUUAUGAAAUCCCACUGUACCUGAUCAUAUGCUUUACCCAUAUCAAGUUUUAUUGCCAUGAACCCUUUCUUUCCCACCAUUUUUUGCUUUAAUGUAUUUAGAAUUUCGUAAGCUAACAGCACAUUAGAUAUUAAUCUUUCUGGCACAAAAUCACUCUGCGUGGCAUCAAUACAUUUUCCAAUCACAACUCUAAAACGGUUCGCAUUAGCUUUUGCCAAGAUUUUAUACAAAAAAUUGAAAAGACUAAUAGGACAAAAAUGCUGUCAUGUUUGAAGGAUUAGAAAUCUUUGGGAUAAGCACAAUAUUUGUAGAAUUAAUCAAACUAACCUCCAUAUCACAAUUUAAAAGAUGUAAACAAAAUUCUACAACAUCAUUUCAAACAAUGGGCCAGCACUUUUGAUAAAACAGUCCAUCCUCUCCCGGCGCCUUCGUAGGUCCCAUUUCAAACACUACUGCCUCUAUUUCUUCUUUCGUAUAGUUCAUAGUUAGUUUAUUAUUGUCUUCAUCCUGGAUACACCGAGCAAUGCCUGAUAAUAGAUGAGCCAAAUCACUCAUUUGCCCUGUUGAAAAUAGCUUCUGGAAAUAUAAACGAGCAAUUCUUUCCAAUUCCUGUGAUGCCUCCGUUGCAACACCAUCUUCAUUUAGCAACUUUCGAAUAAUAUUUUUCUUUCUUUGUUGGGUUGCUUGGCUAUGAAAAAAGACUGUAUUUUUAUCUCCAUAUUGCAACCAAUUCAGUCGAGCCCUCUGUUCCCAAUAUCAUUCAUCCUUCUCAAUCUCAAAGUUUAAUUGAAUUUUUAUGUCGAUCAAUUUCGCUAGAUUAUUCCUCUUUCGAUUCAAUUGGAUUUGACCAGCCCAUUUUUCCAAUCCCCUCUUCACAUCUUCUAAUUUUUGCAAUAAAUCCCCUGAAGACAACUCCCAAAUUCAUUUAACUUCAUUGAAGAAAGACUCCUCCAAUGGCCAGCACACCUCAAAUCUGAAUAGUUUACAUUUUAACCUUUCCUCUUCCCGGCAUGUUUUAAUUAGUAUAGGACAAUGAUCUAAAAAACAGUGUACUAAAUGUUGUACUUUUACCCUUAGGAACAUGGAUAUCCAUCUAGUAUUAGCCACUCCUCUAUCGCGCCUUUCACGUAUAUUCGUCUCCGGAAGGUUACCUCUCUCCCAAGUGAACCAUCUAUCAGAAUAUCCUACAUCGAUCAACUGAAAUUCCUCCAAAGUUCUCCGGAAUUGAUCCAUUUUUCGUUCAUCCUUAGGUAAGCCCCUUUUCUUCUCAGACCCAUACAUUAUUUCAUUGAAAUCCUCACAAACCAACCACGGUAUAUCAUUAUCAGGACCUAGGCAUUUCAAUAUUUCCCAUGAAUCGUUUCUAUCGUGUGCAUAAAGAGAACCAUAGAAGCCUGUGAGUCUUCAUUUUUCUCGUAUUUCAGCAUCCUCAAUCUCGACAUCAAUAUAUCUUUUUGAGAAAGAUCAAAAUUGAACCGAGACAUCCAUUCUCCAUACCAUACAUAAGCCUCCUCGACUACCCUUUGAAUCAACCUCCAAACCAUACACAAAUCCAUAUUUCCAUCGCACUUGUUCCAUCUUUCUUUUGUCCAACUUAGUCUCCAUAAAUAAGACAAUUUGGGUAUUAUGCACCUUCAGCGUAUGUUGAAGUCACUGAAUUAUCCGUGGUCUCCUUAAACCAUAAACAUUCUAACUUAAAAUUUUCAUUGUGACCGGUCAGCUUGCCUCUUGAAAGCCGCCGAUAUUGAAUGAUUGAUCUCCACCAGUCUUCUAUUCCUUACCAAUAAGUUGUCAGUUUCCUCUCCUCCCACUACAUCUUCUAAAGCUCCUCUAGCUCUCUUCUUUCAUUCUUCUCCAAUUAUUACUCCCUCCUUUAGAUCAUGCUCCAUAACUGUAUUCAUCCAAUCCGAUAUCUUAUUUUCUUUUUGUAGAUCAAGAUUUGAUGACCCCCCUUCCAGAUUAAAACCUAAGAUUGGAUCAAUAAUCUUUCCUCCCCUUACAGUAUUAUUAGCACCUCAUAUUUUAUUUGUUGAACCUCGAAUAUACCUCUUUUCCCCUUCACUUUUACCAUCGUCAUCCUCCCUAAGGCAGAUGCUAUUCAUCGAUAAGGCUUUACGUGAUUGAGCGUGCAAGGAAAGAUCCCAACCUAGUUUAGCAACCUUCACCCCAAUCAGCAUUUUAGCUUCACAAAACGAAUCAUUAUGACCGAAUCGACCAUAAUAGAAGCAAAACAAAGAUAAUCGUUCAUAUCUAAAUUUGACAUAUGAACAUCUUCCAUUAAAUAUGACCUGUUUUUUCCUCUUCAAUGGUCUUCUAAUAUCAAUCUGAGCCCUUAUGCGCAUAUAAUUUUGAUUUCCUUUCCCAAGUUUGCUCCAUCGUAUUCCAAAAACUUCCUCCAAAAAUUACCCAAUUGUGCGGCUAAUUUUUCUGAAUAUAAACCAACUAGAACAUCAUGAAUUUGAAUCCAAAUAGGAGAAUAAAUUAAGGGAACUUUAAGCGGAUCUUCCCCCAACUGUAACCUAUAAAGGACUAACAGAUGAUUGUUGAAAGCCUAUGGAGAACCCUUAAGAACCCUUUCCAUGUUCAUAACAUGAAAAAAUUAAAAUAAAUAUUGUUUUUCUCCCAAAUCUGAAUCUGAACCCCACAAAUCGGAUGUCACAUGUCGAAACCGUUUUUUUGAAAAGAGGAAUCGACUUUGUUUGGAAACGAAAAUUAAAACGGGAGUCGCCACCGAUCUUUAUUAGGUGUGAUCGGAUCACAUUUUUUUUAAUAAAACAAUUUAGCUUACUAAAAUGGCAUUUUGGUCUACGGAAUUCAAGAGAACAAGUUCGGGAGUCAGUUACGUGCGAGGAAGGGUUAGCACCUUCGACACGCCCGAAAAAUUGGUAUCGAAUUGAUUAAUUAGUCUUAAUGUUGAAAAUUAAAAAUUGGGAAUGGAUUUAAAAUACGAUCCUUUUUAUUAACGUUAAUUUUAAAAAGUUCGAAUUAAAUCAAAGUGAUUGCUAAAGAUUUCCUCGUCUCGAGAUAUCGAAGUAUUACAUCCUGUAAGUUAGGACACGAUACCAUGAACACUCGAGCGCAAGUUGUCUUUAAUUUUAAUUGGAAUUUCGUGUAUUUUAAAACUCAAAAGGAUAAUUGGGAAUUUAGGACCAACGAGAAAAUUGAAACUUCGUAAGUUAGGGCAUGGUUUCUCGAUGUUCCAAAACGCGAAACAUUGCUUUAUUUUGAAAUUUCGUUUUGAAAUAUAGCGAGUAUGAUAUUUAACGAUGUGCAAUAUUUGUUUGAAUUAAAAAAUAAUAAUUUAUUGGAUAAAUAUAACGAGGCUUGAUUCAUGAGGCGAUGAUAUUACAUAGGAAUAUAGUAAAUGUACAUAGAAUAAUAAUGCAUGGAUACAAAAUUAUAAUAAUGCAUGGAUACAAUAUUAUAUGAAUGAAUAACAAUAAUGCAAAAAUAUGAAGUAAACGAAUUAAAAUACACAAUAUUAUAUGAAUGAAUAAUAAUGCAAUAAUCACACAACAUACAUUAUUUAAAUACUAAUCAUUAAUAAUCAAUGACAAAUGAAUUAAAUUAAAAAAAUUUACAAUGCAAAUUAAAAUGAAUAAAACGUAGAACAAAUUUUAAAAUGAUAAGAAAUGAAUUUAAAAUAAAUAAUGAAAAAAGAAAUUUAAUCAACAAUGUACAAAACAAUUUAAAAAUAGAAUAUAUGUAUAAACAAUUUUAGAAAAGGUAAUAUAGGCGAAAGUUUGUAAUAAAUAAUAUACGGGAAAAGUUUAAAAUGAAUAAUAUGUAAAAUAAUUUAAGAUAAUUAAUAUAUGAAUGAGUUUAAAAUAAAUGUUAUGUAAAAAGAAACUUAAAAUAAGUAUUAUACAAGACAUCUAAGAAUUAACUAGUAUAUAUAUAAAAAGAUAUAACAAUUUGAAAUUGAUAAUAUAUAUAUAAUUUUAAAGUAAAUAAUAAAACAAUUUAAAAUGAAAAAUGCAUAAAGCGAGUUUAAAAUAAAUAGUGUAAAAGAAUUUUAAAAUCUAUAUUACACAAAGCAAAUAAAAAAGAUACAUAUGAAUAAUUUUAAAAUAGAUAAUAUAUAUAAAUAAAAAUGUAAAAUAAAUAAUAUGGAAUAAGUAGAAUGGGUUUAAAAUAAGGUAUAUAAAAUAAUUUUAAAAUAAAUAAUAUAUAAUUUAAUUUAAAAGUAAUAAAUAAGAAGUUUAAAAUAUAUAAUACGUAAAAGAAUUAAAAUUAGACACUAUAAAUAUACUUUGUAAUAGUAACAGUUCAAAGAUAAUAAAAAGAGAGUUAUUUAAAAUACAUAAUAUACAAUAACUUAAAAUAUAAAAUAAUUUGAAAUAAAUAUAUAAUAAUUUUUAAAGAAUUAUAAAUAUCUAAAAAGCUUGAAAUAAACUAUAUGUAUACAUAUAUAUAAUAGGUAAGGAAUAAAAAAAUAAAUAAUACAUAUAAAAUAGAUUAAGGUAACAUAUAUAUACAUAAAGCAAGUUAAGAUAAAUAAUAAGAAUUUGAAUAAUCAGUACAUUAAAAUAAGUUAGAAUAGAUGUAAAUAAGUAACAUAUAAAAUAUUUGAAAUAACAUGUAAAUGAAACAUUUAAAAAGGGUUAAUAAAUGAAUUAAAUAGAUUUAGGACAUGGCUAAAAAUAAAUUAAAAUUCGGGGUAUAAAAGUAUAAAUACUGGAAAGUUAAUUAGGGAUCAAAAAGAAAACCAAAUAGGAUUUGAGGGCUAAAUUUAAAAAAACAAAAGAAGAUAGAAAAUGGGGCCUGAUUGAAUGGGGGUUGAAAAGGGGAAGGACCAAUCGCAUAAAUCUCCCUUUUAAGGAGAAUGCACAAACCGCCCACUACACCAAACGGCAUCAUGUCGUCAUCAUCAUUUAAACCAAAACCUUUUUUUUUUUAAUUUCAUUUUCAGCCCCUAUUUUUUUAAGAAAACAGAAAGCUUUUUGCUUUCUCUCCUUCCCCUUUUCUCCCCUAUUUCUCUCUUUUUGGCUAGGGCUUCAUAUACCCAUCAUCGUUGCCGUCCGACCACCGCACCACCACCGUAUUCGGUGGCCAGCGAUGCGCCAAAAUGGGCCCUUAGCCUCAUCUUGAAACACCCUAGAGAAACCAGCCCUCAAAACCCGAAAAAAAAGAGUUGAAUAGAAAUGGUUCUCAACCCCUUCGGGUUCGAUUUUGACAACGGAGGAGGACCCUCCGGCACUGCAACCGUGGGAAACCAGUGAGUCUCUUCUUCUCCCUUUUUGUUUAUGUUUCUAUUUAAAAUCGUUUUUGGUAAAGAAAUGAAAAAUACAAAUAAAAAUGUAAAUCGAAAGAAAACAAGAAAAGUAAAUCGAAAUCAACCUUUGCCUUUGCUUCUAUUCUGUUUUUUUUUUAAUGUUCGUAACCGUUUACAAAGAAAAGAUAUUGGCUUUUAAAGCCAAUCUAAAAACUGUUGGUUUCAUAGUUUUUGUUAUUUUGCCAUUUAUUUCUCUGUCGAUCGCGUGCCUUCUUGCUGUUAUUUUUUGAUUUGGUUGCAGGUGUUGCGACGCGUGGAAGGGGCAAUGUUCAGGGGCGUGGUGGCUGAGGGGAGGCCAAAAGUCGAGGGGGAGUGGCGGCUGAACUUUGGUGGCUAGGGUUAGGGUGACUGCUGAAAAAAAUUAAAGAUAGUUGGCUAGGGUUUAGUUUAUUUCGGGCCUGGUAAUUGGGUUUGAGUUUGGGUCUGAUUUUGUAAUGGACUUUAAUUAUUUGGACUUUUAAAUCUGUUUAUUUGAGAUUUAUUUUUGUAAUUGGGUUAGACCAAAAUUGGCUAUUACACCACAGAUUUGCCAUCGUUCUUUUCAUAGCUGGAAAGUGAAAAAUAAUUGCCGUUAAAAAAUAACCUACUAAUUGAAAUUCACCCCUUUCAUUACCCAAGCCAGGAUCUAAAUGGAUCUGCAAAAUUUCAUUUUUCUUCUUCAUUGAGUGACAGAUCUGCUAACUCGUUUUCCAUUGAUGCAG